This 253-nucleotide ribosomal RNA is filed under the name uncultured bacterium. RNAcentral describes it as "partial 16S ribosomal RNA". It matches the Rfam family "Bacterial small subunit ribosomal RNA", at positions 524 to 776 of the family's 1533-position model. The record is from RNAcentral.
UACGGAGGGUGCAAGCGUUAUCCGGAUUCACUGGGUUUAAAGGGUGCGUAGGUGGGUUGGUAAGUCAGUGGUGAAAUCUCCGAGCUUAACUUGGAAACUGCCAUUGAUACUAUCAGUCUUGAAUACCGUGGAGGUCAGCGGAGUAUGUCAUGUAGCGGUGAAAUGCUUAGAUAUGACAUAGAACACCAAUUGCGAAGGCAGCUGACUACGCGAAUAUUGACACUGAUGCACGAAAGCGUGGGGAUCAAACAGG